This 834-nucleotide ribosomal RNA is filed under the name uncultured Sediminibacterium sp. RNAcentral's name for it is "bacterial SSU rRNA". It matches the Rfam family "Bacterial small subunit ribosomal RNA", at positions 60 to 888 of the family's 1533-position model. The record is from RNAcentral. Lineage: Bacteria; Pseudomonadati; Bacteroidota; Chitinophagia; Chitinophagales; Chitinophagaceae.
AGUCGAGGGGCAGCAGCUUUAUAGCAAUAUAGAGGCUGGCGACCGGCAAACGGGUGCGGAACACGUACACAACCUUCCUUGAAUAGGGGGAUAGCCCAUAGAAAUGUGGAUUAAUACCCCGUAAUAUAGCGGUGUGGCAUCACACUGUUAUUACAGUUUCGACGAUUCGAGAUGGGUGUGCGGCUGAUUAGGUAGUUGGCGGGGUAAAGGCCCACCAAGCCUUCGAUCAGUAGCUGAUGUGAGAGCAUGAUCAGCCACACGGGCACUGAGACACGGGCCCGACUCCUACGGGAGGCAGCAGUAAGGAAUAUUGGUCAAUGGACGCAAGUCUGAACCAGCCAUGCCGCGUGAAGGAUGAAGGUCCUCUGGAUUGUAAACUUCUUUUAUAGGGGGCGAAAAAAGGUCUUUCUAGAUCACUUGACAGUACCCUAUGAAUAAGCACCGGCUAACUCCGUGCCAGCAGCCGCGGUAAUACGGAGGGUGCAAGCGUUAUCCGGAUUCACUGGGUUUAAAGGGUGCGUAGGCGGGUAGGUAAGUCAGAGGUGAAAUCCUGGAGCUUAACUCCAGAACUGCCUUUGAUACUAUCUAUCUUGAAUAUGGUGGAGGUAAGCGGAAUAUGUCAUGUAGCGGUGAAAUGCAUAGAUAUGACAUAGAACACCUAUUGCGAAGGCAGCUUACUACGCCUAUAUUGACGCUGAGGCACGAAAGCGUGGGGAUCAAACAGGAUUAGAUACCCUGGUAGUCCACGCCCUAAACGAUGAUUACUCGACGUAUGCGAUACACAGUAUGCGUCUGAGCGAAAGCAUUAAGUAAUCCACCUGGGAAGUACGACCG